UAGAGAGGGAGGAGAGAGUGAGAAGAGAGAGAGAGAGAGACUCUCUCUCUCUCUCUCUCUCUCUCUCUCUCUCUCUCUCUCUAUUUUUUAAU
This 92-nucleotide microRNA precursor is filed under the name Marmota monax (woodchuck). Lineage: Eukaryota; Metazoa; Chordata; Mammalia; Rodentia; Sciuridae. The record is from RNAcentral.